Molecule: ribosomal RNA, 253 nt
Filed under: uncultured bacterium
Lineage: Bacteria
Description: partial 16S ribosomal RNA
Rfam family: Bacterial small subunit ribosomal RNA
Source: RNAcentral
UACAGAGGGUGCAAGCGUUAAUCGGAAUUACUGGGCGUAAAGCGCGUGUAGGUGGAUUGGUGUGUCAGAUGUGAAAGCCCUGGGCUCAACCCAGGAACUGCACCUGAAACUACCAGUCUUGAGUGGUGGAGAGGGAAGUGGAAUUCCUGGUGUAGAGGUGAAAUUCGUAGAUAUCAGGAGGAACACCAGUGGCGAAGGCGGCUUCCUGGACACCAACUGACGCUGAGACGCGAAAGCGUGGGGAGCAAACAGG